This 1355-nucleotide ribosomal RNA is filed under the name uncultured bacterium. RNAcentral describes it as "bacterial SSU rRNA". It matches the Rfam family "Bacterial small subunit ribosomal RNA", at positions 27 to 1381 of the family's 1533-position model. The record is from RNAcentral.
GGAUGAACGCUAGCGGCAGGCCUAACACAUGCAAGUCGAGGGGCAGCACAGGUAGCAAUACUGGGUGGCGACCGGCGGAUGGGUGCGUAACGCGUAUGCAACCUACCAUUGAUUGGGGCAUAGCCCGAAGAAAUUCGGAUUAAUACUCCAUAAUAUUCAUCAAAGGCAUCUUUUAUGAAUUAAAGCUUUUGCGAUCAAUGAUGGGCAUGCGUGACAUUAGUUAGUUGGUGAGGUAACGGCUCACCAAAACGAUGAUGUCUAGGGGUUCUGAGAGGAUUAUCCCCCACACUGGUACUGAGACACGGACCAGACUCCUACGGGAGGCGGCAGUGAGGAAUAUUGGUCAAUGGGCGCAAGCCUGAACCAGCCAUCCCGCGUGAAGGAAGAAGGCCCUAUGGGUUGUAAACUUCUUUUCCAGGGGGUGAAUAAUUCCGAUGUAUCGGGAGAUGACGGUACCCUGGGAAUAAGCAUCGGCUAACUCCGUGCCAGCAGCCGCGGUAAUACGGAGGAUGCGAGCGUUAUCCGGAUUUAUUGGGUUUAAAGGGUGCGUAGGCGGAACAAUAAGUCAGUGGUGAAAGACUGCAGCUUAACUGUAGACUUGCCGUUGAUACUGUUGAUCUUGAGUAUGGUCAAGGCAGGCGGAAUGCGUAAUGUAGCGGUGAAAUGCUUAGAUAUUACACAGAACACCGAUUGCGAAGGCAGCUUGCUGGGCCAUUACUGACGCUGAUGCACGAAAGCGUGGGGAUCGAACAGGAUUAGAUACCCUGGUAGUCCACGCAGUAAACGAUGAUCACUCGCUGUUGGCGAUACACAGUCAGCGGCUAAGCAAAAGCAUUAAGUGAUCCACCUGGGGAGUACGGCCGCAAGGCUGAAACUCAAAGGAAUUGACGGGGGCCCGCACAAGCGGAGGAACAUGUGGUUUAAUUCGAUGAUACGCGAGGAACCUUACCUGGGCUUAAAUGUAGAGUGCAUGAGGUAGAAAUACUUCUUUCCUUCGGGACUCUUUGCAAGGUGCUGCAUGGUUGUCGUCAGCUCGUGCCGUGAGGUGUCGGGUUAAGUCCCAUAACGAGCGCAACCCUUAUCGUUAGUUGCCAGCGGGUAAUGCCGGGAACUCUAGCGAAACUGCCGGUGUAAACCGAGAGGAAGGUGGGGAUGACGUCAAAUCAGCACGGCCCUCAUGUCCAGGGCUACACACGUGUUACAAUGGCCGGUACAGAGGGCAGCUACCUGGAGACAGGAUGCGAAUCUCGAAAGCCGGUCUCAGUUCGGAUCGGAGUCUGCAACUCGACUCCGUGAAGCUGGAUUCGCUAGUAAUCGCGCAUCAGCCAUGGCGCGGUGAAUACGUUCCCGGGCCU